CUGUGCACCCCCGGGAUUAGUCGGGGCUAAGAGACUCGGACACCCGGUGCAAAUAAAAAACAAAAAAAAGGAUCCACCUUCUCUUUUUCAACACUUUCUAAGAUCCAACAAUGAAGUUUUAAAUUUUUUACAGUAAAUUACUAAAUCGGUGUUUAAACUAAAAAUUUUAACAUAAGUUUUCAACAUUUGUGAUAGGAUGAUGAUAUGAGCUGAGCUUAAAGAAAGAAGUGAGGUUUCAUAUAGCUGACUCCAACUUGUUUGGGCUUGAGGCGUAAUUAUUGUGUUGGCUCAAAAAUGUCCUGUUCAUUUUGCAUUAUUUGAUAAUAUACCUAAUUGGUUAGUUCUGAAAAGUGAGAAACCAGAAAAUGGGAGGUUCUAUAUUAUCCAUUAAUUAAGUAGAAAAGCAAGUGAAUUAAUUACGGUCGGAAAAACAUUAUUUUACAAUGGUGAUAUAUAUGCCAGGUUAUAUGAUUGUCUCUAUAAUGCUUUUUCCUGGUUAUCUUGCUGAAAUGAGAGGAAACUAAACUACGCUAUCUGAUAUCUUACAAUGCUGCCUUAUUGAGUUUGUCAUGGGUUUUAUAAUUUAUUCUACCAAUAUGUUAUACGUUUGUAGUUCAAAUUGAUUUGAUUGCGAAAGAACUAUAUUGUCUUUACAAAAUAAUGGUUUUCCAAGUGAUCAAAUUGAGAAGCACAUACUCAAUAAGGAGGAUACAAAUUGUGUAAAAUUCAGGGCGACCGGAGGAAAUGGUCCUGAGAGUGGAAAUAGCUGAGAUGAACUGCUGCUUUGCUUAGUAAGGGUUUUCAUGGACAUAGCUGAGAUGAACUGCUGAGAUGAACUGCUGCUUUGCUUAGUAAGGGUUUUCAUGGACAUGAUCAUUACGAGUUUUGGCUCAACUUGGGUAUCUUCCCCAGAGACAGCUUUCUCAUCUCAGCUUAUAGAGGUUUAGUUUGGACAAAAGAAUGGUUCCUAGAAUCAAAAUUUAUUCAGAACUCAGAGCUGGUUUUAUGAGGAUAAAAUUCCUGGUCUCUCUAUGAAUUCUAUACAAAAAGUGUAGGAUGACACAAUAACUUGAGAGCAUCUUUUAAACAAAGCGCGGCAUUCAUGCUGUUGGCUGAAUUAAGAGUACCAUAUUUACAUGUGGAAAUGAUCAUAUUUCAACACCAGUUAGCAAUGUGUUCUAGCUCUGUACAAGGCAGGUUCAAAGUUUACAAUUUGCACCACGGGUCAGCUUAUUUCUUUGCUAGUCGCUGCAAGCCCCCUUCUUAGCAUUACUUGUCAAUUUUCAGUAUGUUAUAUUCAGUGUUUUCUCCUUCUUAUAAUUAUUAAAAGGUAGCUCUGGCUAUUUCUUUGCUUUAGAUAAAGAGAAUGAGAGAUACCCCUUGAGUAUCUUUAACCAUAAUGCUAUCUCUUUAGCUUUCUUGAUUCCAACCUAAAAGAACAGUUUCUUUAGAAAUUCUUUCUCUCUGGUGCAUGACAAAAGAAAGUAUUACUACUA
Long non-coding RNA from Nicotiana attenuata, 1496 nucleotides. RefSeq lists it as uncharacterized. The record is from RefSeq and is a predicted model, not a curated record. NCBI's taxonomy places the organism in Eukaryota, Viridiplantae, Streptophyta, Magnoliopsida, Solanales, Solanaceae. The transcript has 2 exons.